Mauremys reevesii (Reeves's turtle) is the source of this 877-nucleotide long non-coding RNA. RefSeq lists it as uncharacterized. The record is from RefSeq and is a predicted model, not a curated record. NCBI's taxonomy places the organism in Eukaryota, Metazoa, Chordata, Testudines, Geoemydidae. The transcript is spliced from 2 exons.
UCCCAGAGCCGGGAAAGAACCCAGGAGUCCGGGCUCCCGCCCCGCCUCCCGAGCCGGCAGUAAGUGGGUCGCUCUGUACAUUCCUCUCCGCCAUGUGGGGUUUUCCCAGGGGGGCGGGUUCUUUCCGCCUCCUCGCCCAGCGGUAAGAGUCGGUGCCAGGUUUGCGUUUGCGGCUCCCCGCGGCCCGAUGCGGGGGGGGGGGGUUCAUCUUUAACCCUUCAGGGGUCUCCCCCCUCCCGGCUGCUGCCCCGUGGAGGACAAGGGGGAGGCGAGAGCGAAGCAGCAGCUCGGACCUUCCCCGCCCCACGCUUCCUGUUCUGCCAGCACCUGCCGCCUGGAAUUUGGCCUCCCUCCAGGCGCCGUCUGCCGGCAGCCAGCUCUGCCUUUCUAAGCUGCCCGGGACUCUGCUCCCCUUCUCGCACCCUGUGACAAACCGGGUCACGGCUGUUUUGCUCGACAGAUGGCCCCGGCGGCGCGGACCGAUCCGGCUCAAUGGAAGGAGCAACUAAGUGCACCACGUGUGCAGCGAGAGAUGACACCGCGGAAAGCCACCGCCCAAGGUGCUAAGCCCUGCGGCUGGAGGGGUUUCCCUGGGACCGAUGCUUAAGGGCAUGGGCUGAGGGAUCGACGGGUCGCCGCUGUGUGUGAGGCACAGAGAGCGAUGGAGGCACAGAAAGCCAGAGAGGCAGGCGGGGUGCGGGUCACCCGGAGAGGAAGUCACGAGACGGAGCUCCUUGGGGCACAGGACCGGCCGGAGAAGCGGGCCGGGGAAUUUCUGCGCCAGGAAGCCAGCUGCGGCUGUCGGUCUCUGCCGCGGCCAGGGAGGCGGGCCGGUGUUGGCCGUUCAUGGUAAAAUAAACGGGUUGGCGCCAAAGAA